AGGGUGACAGGUGGUGGCAUGGUUGUCGUCAGCUCGUGUCGUGAGAUGUUGGGUUAAGUCCCGCAACGAGCGCAACCCUCGACCUUAGUUGCCAGCAUUCAGUUGGGCACUCUAAGGUGACUGCCGGCUAAAAGUCGGAGGAAGGUGGGGAUGACGUCAAAUCAUCAUGCCCCUUAUGACCUGGGCUACACACGUGCUACAAUGGGCGGUACAAAGGGUCGCGAACCCGCGAGGGGGAGCCAAUCCCAAAAAGCCGCUCUCAGUUCGGAUUGCAGGCUGCAACUCGCCUGCAUGAAGCCGGAAUCGCUAGUAAUCGCGGAUCCAGCAUGCCGCGGUGAAUACGUUCCCGGGCCUU
RNAcentral lists this ribosomal RNA (355 nucleotides) under uncultured Anoxybacillus sp. RNAcentral describes it as "bacterial SSU rRNA". It matches the Rfam family "Bacterial small subunit ribosomal RNA", at positions 1028 to 1382 of the family's 1533-position model. Lineage: Bacteria; Bacillati; Bacillota; Bacilli; Caryophanales; Anoxybacillaceae. The record is from RNAcentral.